Molecule: long non-coding RNA, 725 nt
Organism: Hyla sarda
Lineage: Eukaryota; Metazoa; Chordata; Amphibia; Anura; Hylidae
Exons: 3
Source: RefSeq, a predicted model, not a curated record
CCCUGCAGUCCAUACAUCCCCGGCCCGUGCACCUUCUCUUCCUCCCCUUCAGAUAACACUUAUCUUCUCUGUGAGGACCUUCUCCUGUGCAGACCUGCGUCCUUAGAAUACAGAGUGGGGGGAGGGGAGGAGCUGUGUACUCAGCUGGAUGAGAUGAGGGGGCGUGGCUUAUUUCUCUCAUGCAGACAGAGAAAGAAAAAAAGCUGUGACAUCUUGUCCACAACAGACUCUGUAGACAACAGUAAAAGAAAACCCUGAACUACAGAACUUCCUGCCCAACAAACAGUUAUCUGGGCCAUAGUGACACGCUGAAAGACGAGAACCGGUCCCUCAUAUGUAAAGCAGCCAACCGCUUUAAAAAGUAACAAAUCAACUCCUGGAUCCAGUUCGGAAAUUCUUCUUUACACCGAGAUUUAGAAACAAAGAAAAGGUCCAGGUGAAUGGACGCCUCUCGGACAAGGAACAAGACAAGGAUGCCCCCUUUUUCCCCUGGUUUUCAUUGUAGUACUGGAGACCCUUUUAUCAGGGCUCAAGUCCUGCAGGAAUGCAUGGGAAUGGAGUUCCUGCAUUUUUUUCACAGCAGGAACACUGUUCCCAUUAGCAGGAGUCCUGCAGGACCUGCCCUUGGGUGGAAAUCUUGGGUGAGUUCUUACACUUUUUUUUCCCCAGGACUUAAAGAAUACCUGUCACCACAAAACAUUUUUAUAUUUUGUUAAUCAAUGUAU